GUUUGUGCAAACACCAGUCUCAGUACAUUUGGACAAUUUUCGCAUUGGAUAUCCUUCUAUUAUGAAACAAAACAAUAUAUUUGAUUGUGGAGUUUUUGUCAUGAAGUUUAUGGAACCUUGGAGACCUAAGGCUCUUCUUCGCUCCGAAUUUUCACAAGAUGAUAUACCCAACAUCAGAAUUCAACUUGUGAAUGAUCUAGUUUUCAGUGAGCACAACAUCAUCGACACUAGCGUUGUAAGGGACUUCUAUGCAGAGGGAGAUUAUCUUCGAGUUGGACAGGGGGUGUAAAAGCUCACUGUGUCAUUGUAUGAAAUGGCAGCAAUACAACUUAGAGAGUUAAGAAUUAGUGUAAAAAUGUAGCACAUACGCAGCACAUUUGUUUGGGAAGUAGCUCAUAUAUGUUCCUUAG
Phragmites australis (common reed) is the source of this 410-nucleotide long non-coding RNA. RefSeq lists it as uncharacterized. The record is from RefSeq and is a predicted model, not a curated record. NCBI's taxonomy places the organism in Eukaryota, Viridiplantae, Streptophyta, Magnoliopsida, Poales, Poaceae. The transcript is spliced from 3 exons.